Molecule: non-coding RNA, 201 nt
Organism: Paramuricea clavata
Lineage: Eukaryota; Metazoa; Cnidaria; Anthozoa; Malacalcyonacea; Plexauridae
Source: the annotation of a GenBank genome assembly
UACAAAUUGCCGCUAUAACUUACUAAAAUGAUAAUUUUGGCAAGAAAACUCGGUUUAUUUAGCUCAAAAUCGUCUUCCAGUACUGACAAAAGUUCAUAUACGAUUGCGCGAAAUAUAAAAUCGUGGUGAAACGCACAAAACGACUUCAAAAUCAAAUUUGAAAGUGAGCCUUCCUAAAUGUCGUCAAGCAUAUUUGGCUGU